GGAAGGUUCAUGUCCAGCUCCUCUGGGAGAGGACUAUGGGGAAGAAAAGGUGGAGCACAUUCUAAAGGGGGCUGGACAGCAGUACCAGACUAACCCCAGUUCACUGGACCAGGCCCAGGGCAGCCCAUCCCCCAAGGGCAAACUGGAAGUAUAAAAAUGAAUAAAACAGAGCCCUUCACACUCUGGGGACACUUUAAAGUUAAACCAGCUGGUAGUGACCACCCCUCACCCCCCGCCAGAGCUCACUCUAAUGAAUUAGCCUACCCCCACUACCAUCAUCCUACUGUCCCCCGCCUCAACCUCCUGCCACUAAUUUGAUCAAGGGGUGUGGCCAAAUGAGGCUAAAUUUAGCCUAAGAAAUGGCCCCAUCUGUUGGGUGAUGCUCUGGGUUCACAUGUAACAUUAGCCUAAAUGUGAUGUCCCAAAGAUGGCAAAUUUGCUGCUAGAAAAAAACGCAAUGAGGCUUUGAGCAAAGCGGACACAAUUUUUUUAAAAAUAUGAUCCAGUGUUUUGGACCAUCCUUGCCAGUGCUUCCUAGAUUCCACUCUGCAGUACACACAGAGCAGCUGAUCCACACAGGAAACGCAGCCCAGACCUGGGCCAGGAGGGAGCAGGAGAGGAGGUGGGCGAGGAUGGAUGAAUACAAAACAGCCCGUGGCACCAGCAGCAGGCUUCUUCAGACUCACUUCUAUCAGACAUAAUCCUUCUUCGACACAAGCCUCCCAGAUGCGCAGCGCCUCGGCCUCGGGAAACUCCCGCUUGAAGCACAGCAGGAGCCAGCGGUGGCAGAAGAGCAUUUGCAAGCCGUCCUCGCCCAGCGAGACCAGAUGCUGGUAGAAGCGUGCGUGGGUCAGCCGCAGCAGCUCCCGCAGCAGCUAACGAGUCACGGGGCCAUGUGCUGCGGAGCCGUCAGCGGCGAAUCACGUCAGAGCCCGUAAUUGCCU
This is a long non-coding RNA of Dama dama (fallow deer), 944 nucleotides long. RefSeq lists it as uncharacterized. Lineage: Eukaryota; Metazoa; Chordata; Mammalia; Artiodactyla; Cervidae. The transcript has 3 exons. The record is from RefSeq and is a predicted model, not a curated record.